RNAcentral lists this ribosomal RNA (399 nucleotides) under uncultured prokaryote. RNAcentral describes it as "partial 16S ribosomal RNA". The record is from RNAcentral.
UGUCUACAGUAGAGUCAAUAGCAAGGCCACGACGCAAUGGAGAAAGACGGAGAGCGCCAACGGCGUCCAUCUCGAAGGAGUCGCCAGCGAUAACCGGAGUAGUUGAAAUGGUAAUAAGACGACCAAUCUGACCAGCAAGGAAGCCAAGAUGGGAAAGGUCAUGCGGCAUACGCUCGGCGCCAGUUUGAAUAUUAGACAUAAUUUAUCCUCAAGUAAGGGGCCGAAGCCCCUGCAAUUAAAAUUGUUGACCACCUACAUACCAAAGACGAGCGCCUUUACGCUUGCCUUUAGUACCUCGCAACGGCUGCGGACGACCAGGGCGAGCGCCAGAACGUUUUUUACCUUUAGACAUUACAUCACUCCUUCUGCACGUAAUUUUUGACGCACGUUUUCUUCUGC